This 224-nucleotide unclassified non-coding RNA is filed under the name plant metagenome. Its description in RNAcentral is "partial contains small subunit ribosomal RNA, internal transcribed spacer 1, and 5.8S ribosomal RNA". The record is from RNAcentral.
UUUCCGUAGGUGAACCUGCGGAAGGAUCAUUAGUGAAUUGAAUAUGUUAGCGGACCUCUUCGGAGUCCCUAGCAUCAAAUCAUAUCCAUAACACCUGUGAACUGUAAGGCUGUCUUGAAAACGAAAGUGAUUAGAGCGCCUGCCCAUUUUAUACAAACAUUAAAGUAACAAACGUAGUCUUAUUAUAAUCUAAUAAACUUUCAACAACGGAUCUCUUGGCUCUG